Molecule: ribosomal RNA, 304 nt
Filed under: uncultured bacterium
Lineage: Bacteria
Description: bacterial SSU rRNA
Rfam family: Bacterial small subunit ribosomal RNA
Source: RNAcentral
GACUAACGCUGGCGGCGUGCCUAACACAUGCAAGUCGAACGAAGCAGCAAUGCUUAGUGGCAGACGGGUGAGUAACGCGUAGAUAAUGUGCCCUCUUGCGGGGGAUACCGUUUCGAAAGGAACGUUAAUACCGCAUAAAGUCCUUAGGAGGCAUCUCUUAGGGAUCAAACUUCCGGGGCGGGAGGAGCAAUCUGCGUACUAUCAGCUAGUUGGUGAGGUAAUGGCUCACCAAGGCUACGACGGUUAACUGGUCUGGAGAGGAUGAUCAGUCACGCUGGAACUGAGACACGGUCCAGACUCCUAC